GCACAUCUCAGUUGGUUCAGAGCUGGCGCUGAUAACACCAAGGUUGCAGGUUCGAUCCCCGUUUGGGACA
Molecule: transfer RNA, 70 nt
Filed under: Podarcis lilfordi (Lilford's wall lizard)
Lineage: Eukaryota; Metazoa; Chordata; Lepidosauria; Squamata; Lacertidae
Description: tRNA.Ile
Source: RNAcentral